This 253-nucleotide ribosomal RNA is filed under the name uncultured bacterium. RNAcentral describes it as "partial 16S ribosomal RNA". It matches the Rfam family "Bacterial small subunit ribosomal RNA", at positions 524 to 776 of the family's 1533-position model. The record is from RNAcentral.
UACGUAUGGGGCAGGCGUUAUCCGGGUUUACUGGGUGUAAAGGGAGCGUAGGCGGCGGGGCAAGCCUGAUGUGAAAGCCCGGGGCUCAACCCCGGGACUGCAUUGGGAACUGCCCUGCUGGAGUGCCGGAGGGGCAGGCGGAAUUCCUAGUGUAGCGGUGAAAUGCGUAGAUAUUAGGAGGAACACCAGUGGCGAAGGCGGCCUGCUGGACGGUGACUGACGCUGAGGCUCGAAAGCGUGGGGAGCAAACAGG